AUACUAGAGCAGAACCCUUAUGCACGGGCUUUCAAGAGCCUUGGGUCUGUUCCGAAUCUAGAUGAGUACAAGAUCUCACUAAACACAGAUAUCAAGUUGGAUCAACGUAGGUACAAUGCCCCAACGACUUCUCAGGUGGCAGCGAUAUGGGUUGAAGGGAGCGACCCACAAAACUGUUUUGACAGGAGUGUUGUCGGUCUUGUUGACACCAUCGUUGCCGGCGAGUCACGCGGUGAUCGAAUUGGCAAGAGAAUCGUGCUUCCACGUACGUUUCCUGGUGGUGAUCGUGAGAUGCAGCGGAGGUUGUUGGAUGCGAUGGCAAUAGUCCAACGGUGGGGUAAACCGGAUUAUUUUAUCACGAUGACUUGCAAUCCCUAUUGGGAGGAGAUAACCCAUAAUCUGAUGCCUGGACAAUUGCCACAAGACCGUCCAGACCUUGUGGCAAGAGUAUACAAGGCUAAACAACGAGAUAUGAUGGACUUGCUAACUAAGGGUAAGCAUUUCGGAGAAGUCGCAGCUUAUGUACAUGUCACCGAGUUUCAGAAAUGA
Molecule: ribosomal RNA, 549 nt
Filed under: Triticum aestivum (bread wheat)
Lineage: Eukaryota; Viridiplantae; Streptophyta; Magnoliopsida; Poales; Poaceae
Description: partial small subunit ribosomal RNA
Source: RNAcentral